AAUCAACGCUGGCGGCGUGCCUAACACAUGCAAGUCGAGCGCGAAAGGGUAGCAAUCCCCGAGUAGAGCGGCGAACGGGUGAGUAACGCGUGGGUAAUCUACCUCCGAGUGGGGAAUAACAGCGGGAAACUGCUGCUAAUACCGCAUGACAUCGUCGAGCCUUCGGGUUUGACGAUCAAAGCCGGGGACCGCAAGGCCUGGCGCUUGGAGAGGAGCCCGCGUCCGAUUAGCAGUU
This 235-nucleotide ribosomal RNA is filed under the name uncultured bacterium. Its description in RNAcentral is "partial 16S ribosomal RNA". It matches the Rfam family "Bacterial small subunit ribosomal RNA", at positions 32 to 250 of the family's 1533-position model. The record is from RNAcentral.